AUAGGGACUACACCAUAGAGAUAUAUACUUAAUAACACUAGAGGGCGUACUCGCUCAAAUUGCUGUGUAGACCUGGAGCUGUGGCCGCCAUUACUAAGGAGGGCAGAAAAACGAACGACCCAACAAGAUUCUGUGCACAACAUACGUGGAAAAAAUUGGAGAAGCCAGGUUCGUGCGUUGCAUUUGGAUGUUCGAACCGAAGAAAGAAAGGGAACCGCAUGAUAUUUCACAAGAAUACACUCAAGAGAGGAAAGGAUGUUACACACCACAUCACAUUCUUAGAGCUGUGCCUACUGUCUUUCCUGGACAUCCUCCCUAUAAACAGACCCAUGGCUCAAGACUCCCAUCAAAACCAUGUACAACAUCCGAAAGUGUUCCCGUGCCUCCAAAGAAACCCUAUGACAUUACAAAAGAACAUGACUAUUCUUUUUCUGUCUGAGUUGAAUAGAAACUGAAUAUAACCAGACAGCAAGUGCAGGAUGCCAAGAAACAGCUUAAAGUGGUGAAACAAGGUAAACAGGAGAGAUGGAAAAACCAGGACUCUCUUGCAGGAAGUCCACGAAAGCAAGCUCAUUAGCCAGGAUCAGCUUGACCUACUUCAACACAACUUUGGAGAGAACGCAUUUUCAGGAAAAACAAAACAAAACAUAGAACUUCAUUCGUACAAACUACAAAGACAGAUCGGUCUUUUAUAUUUUGCCUCUUGUCUGCAUAGCUUAUCCACUGGAUGAUUGACUGUGAAGCCGUUUAAAACUGGAGAGAGCUUUCAAUAAUCUUUUUAAAAAAACAGAACAAUCUGAGACUUUUGUUCUGUGUAAUGAAAUAAAAUUUUGGGGACACAUUGUGACAGUUGCACAACCUAACCAUAAUUUUCUGUUUGUUAACUUUACACGAAGGCAAACUAAAGUGGAACUUAGGAGAAUUGAUUACAUUAGGAGUUAAACAAAAUGUACUUGAAUUUUGAGUUGUUGUGAGGUACACUGUAUUUGAAUAUUUACUCUAUAAGCUUCAUGAUUGUACCUGCUGUAUCUGAUUCAGUUGCUAUAAUUCGUCCCUAUUUUCAGGAAGUGACGGUAGUGAGGAAAAUCGUAACGCAAAGUGAAUGCAUUUUUUUUUCACUACCGUCACUUCGUGAAAACAGCGACGAAUUUUCGCAAAUUAUUUGCACUCUACAUGCGCUUUGAUUCUGCAGGUACAGUAUGGAUAACCUGAGAUAAACAUGUAGACCUUUUUUAUAACAUUGUCUGGAUUGCUCUCAACCAAGUGAUUUACAUCAUUAAAGAUGAAAAGCAAGAAAUUCACAUCAAGUGAGCCCAUUUUUAAUAAACGAGAAGAAUUCACAGAUGUGUGGCAAUUGAAAAGCCUGUGUAAUGCACACCAUAUACACACCCAUAGAUCGUUUUGUACAUAGGUUUGAAUUUUGUUCCAAAAUGGAAAACUGCUUUUGAAGAGAUUUGAUAACAGAAAAAUUAUAUGGAAUAAUGUCACUAGAUGUAAACCCAUAAGAUUGUGCACUCUUUGGCUUGUUGUAUCUACUGUGUACAUUUGAGGGUAAUCAGUUUCAAAUUUAUUAUUACACCUGAUGAAUAAUGAUGUCAAAAGACCAUGUUACUAUGAGGUUUCACUGAAUAGUGUAGUGCAGUAUCCUGAGAUGUAAGUCUCUUCAAUUAUAGUUCUUCAUAGCAAUACAGGUGACUUGGAAUAUUUAUGCUCAAUUACUAUUUCUGGUUUGUAUUUAUUACUCGAUGUAUUAUUUGUAAAUGUGACGCGCCUGCGUGCGCUUGGAGCCAAGACUAGUUAAUAAAGUGUUCGUUAUCGCUGACAUCUUGACACAUAGA
Molecule: long non-coding RNA, 1838 nt
Filed under: Strongylocentrotus purpuratus (purple sea urchin)
Lineage: Eukaryota; Metazoa; Echinodermata; Echinoidea; Camarodonta; Strongylocentrotidae
Description: uncharacterized LOC115923145
Source: RNAcentral